AGAUUUUUUUUUUCCAGAUGCAAAGUCUACAUUUUAAGAGAUCCAACUGAAACUGCUUUACAAUGGAAUUUCUAAAAUAUCUGAUGCUGAUAUUUCUCAUCAGUGACAAGAGAAAAUCUAUGUGCAGUGGAGGAGAUACAGAUCUUUUCUACACAUUUGGAAAUGAAGACAUAAGGAGUCCCUCUACAGAUGAUGGAAGCUCUCCAGUAAUAUUGUUGGAAAAGCCCUUUGUAUAUUUUGGAAGUGUUUUACAAAAGACUU
This is a long non-coding RNA of Labeo rohita (rohu), 261 nucleotides long. RefSeq lists it as uncharacterized. NCBI's taxonomy places the organism in Eukaryota, Metazoa, Chordata, Actinopteri, Cypriniformes, Cyprinidae. The record is from RefSeq and is a predicted model, not a curated record. The transcript has 3 exons.